This 65-nucleotide transfer RNA is filed under the name Cerastoderma edule. Its description in RNAcentral is "tRNA-Lys". The record is from RNAcentral. Lineage: Eukaryota; Metazoa; Mollusca; Bivalvia; Cardiida; Cardiidae.
GAUGCGGUAGCUAUAGUCAAAGCGUAGGACUUUUAACCCUAAGAAAAUUUUAAGAUUUCGCGUCU